Molecule: ribosomal RNA, 376 nt
Filed under: uncultured bacterium
Lineage: Bacteria
Description: bacterial SSU rRNA
Rfam family: Bacterial small subunit ribosomal RNA
Source: RNAcentral
UACAGAGGGUGCAAGCGUUAAUCGGAAUUACUGGGCGUAAAGCGAGCGCAGGCGGUCUUUUAAGUCUGAUGUGAAAGCCCCCGGCUUAACCGGGGAGGGUCAUUGGAAACUGGGAGACUUGAGUGCAGAAGAGGAAAGCGGAAUUCCAUGUGUAGCGGUGAAAUGCGUAGAUAUAUGGAGGAACACCAGUGGCGAAGGCGGCUUUCUGGUCUGUAACUGACGCUGAGGCUCGAAAGCGUGGGGAGCAAACAGGAUUAGAUCCCCUGGUAGUCCACGCCGUAAACGAUGAGUGCUAAGUGUUGGAGGGUUUCCGCCCUUCAGUGCUGCAGCAAACGCAUUAAGCACUCCGCCUGGGGAGUACGACCGCAAGGUUGAA